GUGAGGAAUAUUGGUCAAUGGGCGGGAGCCUGAACCAGCCAAGUCGCGUGAAGGAAGAAGGAUCUAUGGUUCGUAAACUUCUUUUGCAGGGGAAUAAAGUGCAGGACGUGUCCUGUUUUGUAUGUACCCUGAGAAUAAGGAUCGGCUAACUCCGUGCCAGCAGCCGCGGUAAUACGGAGGAUCCGAGCGUUAUCCGGACUUAUUGGGUUUAAAGGGUGCGUAGGUGGUUUGAUAAGUCAGCGGUGAAAGUUUGCAGCUUAACUGUAAAAAUGCCGUUGAAACUGUCGGACUUGAGUGUAAAUGAGGUAGGCGGAAUGCGUGGUGUAGCGGUGAAAUGCAUAGAUAUCACGCAGAACUCCGAUUGCGAAGGCAGCUUACUAAGCUACAACUGACACUGAAGCACGAAAGCGUGGGGAUCAAACAGGAUUAGAUACCCCAGUAGUCC
RNAcentral lists this ribosomal RNA (445 nucleotides) under uncultured bacterium. RNAcentral describes it as "partial 16S ribosomal RNA". It matches the Rfam family "Bacterial small subunit ribosomal RNA", at positions 354 to 796 of the family's 1533-position model. The record is from RNAcentral.